RNAcentral lists this long non-coding RNA (698 nucleotides) under Mustela putorius furo (domestic ferret). RNAcentral describes it as "lncRNA (ENSMPUG00000028326.1)". Lineage: Eukaryota; Metazoa; Chordata; Mammalia; Carnivora; Mustelidae. The record is from RNAcentral.
GCUUCCCACCUGAUCCAGGCAUUCCUACCUCGUGUCCUGCCUUCUGCAUGAAUCACUCCCCACCUCCAGCCCCCAUACCUGUUGCCACGUCUACCUCCAAUGCCGGGAUUGUUUACUUUUCUCCCAGCGUGCAGAUCCAUCAUGCGUUGGCUGGAGAUUGUGAUCCAUGUUACUCUCACUUGGAUUCCAGACCAGGAGGGCAACACUAUCUGGAAACUCACCAGUUUCUGUAGCAGAGGAAAGCCAGACAUGAAGGUACUUUUCCGUGGUUUGCCUAUUUCAUUAAAGGCAAGGCUAUAAGAAAUUGACCCGAGUGCUGGGAUAAGAAAGACUUCACUGGAGAUUCAACAUGAGAAGAGAAUCCUGAUGGGGUACGUGGAAUCUACAUUGCUGAAGAAAUUUAUCGCAUAGACUAUAAGCUAUCUAUCUUGGAUGUUGCACAUUCAAAGAGGUUGAGGCUGCUGACUCCAAAUAUGACAUGCUGAGCAAUGAUAACGGAUGACUUUCCCUGGCCUAAGUGGAAUGGAAAGGGUUUGGAAGGCAGCUAGGCUCACCACUGUACCACCAACGCAUGGAAAGGGGUUGGAAACCAGGAAAAAGUCGGGUGGGAGGAGGGGACAAGAAAAAGAGGAGGAAAAUAAUGAAGGACUGAAAAGGCAUCAUGGUUUCUGAAAAAGUAUCAGAGGCAGGGCUACCAC